GGGAGGACUACAUUUUAGAGUUACAAAAUUUACAUAUAGCAGAAUAAGUUGGAAUGCUUAAACAUAGAGGGUGAAAUUCCCGUAAGCGAAAUGUGUAGAUCUCUUUGUAGUAUCCUGAGUAGGGCGGGGCACGUGAAACCCUGUCUGAAUUUGCCGGGACCACCCGGUAAGGCUAAAUACUAACCAGACACCGAUAGUGAACUAGUACCGUGAGGGAAAGGUGAAAAGAACCCCGGGAGGGGAGUGAAAUAGAUCCUGAAACCAAUUACUUACAGUUAGUCAGAGCCCGUUAAUGGGUGAUGGCGUACAUCUUGCAGAAUGGACCGGCGAGUUAUGUCAACAUGCGAGGUUAAGUGGAUUAAAGCGAAGCCGUAGAGAAAUCGAGUCUUAAUAGGGCGCUUAGUAUGUUGAUAUAGACCCGAAACCAGGUGAUCUACCCAUGAGCAGGUUGAAACUUAGGUAACACUAAGUGGAGGACCGAACCGUAGUACGCUAAAAAGUGCCCGGAUGACUUGUGGGUAGGGGUGAAAUUCCAAUCGAACUUGGAGAUAGCUGGUUCUCUCCGAAAUAGCUUUAGGGCUAGCGUGUAGUGUUAAGUGAUGGGGGUAGAGCACUGAAUAUGGAAUGGCGGCGCCUAGCUGUACUGACUAUAAUCAAACUCCGAAUACUAUCAUGAAUUGCUAUGCAGUCGGUACAUCGGUGAUAACGUCGAUGCACGCGAGGGGAACAACCCAGAUCGUCAGCUAAGGUCCCAAAAUUGUGUUAAGUGAGAAAGGUUGUGGAGUUUCUUAAACAGCUAGGAUGUUGGCUUAGAAGCAGCCAUCGUUUAAAGAGUGCGUAAUAGCUCACUAGUCGAGAGACUCUGUGCCGAUAAUUCAACGGGACUAAAACACAAUACCGAAGCUACGGGCAUGAAAAUGCGUUAGGAGAGCGUUGUAAGGGCAUUGAAGCCAGACUGUGAAGACUGGUGGAGCGCUUACAAGUGAGAAUGCCGGUAUGAGUAACGAUUCAGAGUGAGAAUCUCUGACGCCUAUUGGGGAAGGUUUCCUGGGCAAGGUUCGUCCACCCAGGGUUAGUCGGGUCCUAAGACGAGGCCGAAAGGCGUAGCCGAUGGACAACAGGUUAAUAUUCCUGUACUUUCUAUAAAUGUGAUGGAGUGACGGGGGAGGAUAGCACUACCACUUAUUGGAUUGUGGGGUAAAUAGUGACUGGGUUAUGUAGGCAAAUCCGCAUAACUUAACCGGGAGAUAUGAUGCAUAGUGAAAGGGCAACUAAGUAGCGAAUUGGAUGAUUCCAUACCUCUUAAAAAAGCUUCUAACAUAUAGUUUAUGGAAACCCGUACCGAGAACGGACACACGUCCCCAAGAUGAGUAUUCUAAGGCGAGCGAGAAAACCAAUGUCAAGGAACUCUGCAAAUUCAUCCCGUAAGUUCGCAAGAAGGGAUGCCCACCCUAAAAAGUGGGCCGCAGUGAAUAGUAAGGGGGAACUGUUUAUCAAAAACACAGCUCUAUGCUAAGUCGUAAGACGAUGUAUAUGGGGUGACUCCUGCCCAGUGCCCGAAGGUUAAGCAAAGUUGUUAGCUUUAGCGAAGCAUUGAUGUGAAGCCCGGGUGAACGGCGGCCGUAACGAUAACGGUCCUAAGGUAGCGAAAUUCCUUGUCCAAAAAAAAAAAAAA
This 1675-nucleotide ribosomal RNA is filed under the name Acidovorax sp. GBBC 3333. RNAcentral describes it as "partial 23S ribosomal RNA". It matches the Rfam family "Bacterial large subunit ribosomal RNA", at positions 296 to 1981 of the family's 2925-position model. Lineage: Bacteria; Pseudomonadati; Pseudomonadota; Betaproteobacteria; Burkholderiales; Comamonadaceae. The record is from RNAcentral.